AUUGAACGCUGGCGGCAUGCCUUACACAUGCAAGUCGAACGGUAACAGGUCUUCGGAUGCUGACGAGUGGCGAACGGGUGAGUAAUACAUCGGAACGUGCCUAGUAGUGGGGGAUAACUACUCGAAAGAGUGGCUAAUACCGCAUGAGAUCUACGGAUGAAAGCAGGGGAUCGCAAGACCUUGUGCUACUAGAGCGGCCGAUGGCAGAUUAGGUAGUUGGUGGGAUAAAAGCUUACCAAGCCGACGAUCUGUAGCUGGUCUGAGAGGACGAUCAGCCACACUGGGACUGAGACAUGGCCCAGGCUCCUACGGGAGGCAGCAGUGGGGAAUUUUGGACAAUGGGCGCAAGCCUGAUCCAGCAAUGCCGCGUGCAGGAUGAAGGCCUUCGGGUUGUAAACUGCUUUUGUACGGAACGAAAAGCCCUGGGUUAAUACCCUGGGGUCAUGACGGUACCGUAAGAAUAAGCACCGGCUAACUACGUGCCAGCAGCCGCCGUAA
This 498-nucleotide ribosomal RNA is filed under the name uncultured bacterium. Its description in RNAcentral is "partial 16S ribosomal RNA". It matches the Rfam family "Bacterial small subunit ribosomal RNA", at positions 30 to 523 of the family's 1533-position model. The record is from RNAcentral.